Molecule: non-coding RNA, 46 nt
Organism: Gossypium raimondii (Peruvian cotton)
Lineage: Eukaryota; Viridiplantae; Streptophyta; Magnoliopsida; Malvales; Malvaceae
Source: Rfam
UUAGCGGCGCUUUUAAGCGCCACUAAAAGUAGCAAAAAACGCCGCU